Molecule: ribosomal RNA, 406 nt
Filed under: uncultured bacterium
Lineage: Bacteria
Description: partial 16S ribosomal RNA
Rfam family: Bacterial small subunit ribosomal RNA
Source: RNAcentral
AUUGAACGCUGGCGGCAGGCCUAACACAUGCAAGUCGAGCGAGAGGCGGACGGGUGAGUAAGGUAUGGGAAACUGCCUGAUGGCGGGGGAUAACUACUGGAAAAGGUAGCUAAUACCGCCUACCAUCGGAUGAGCCCAUAGGGGAUUAGCUUGUAGGUGGGGUAACGGCUCACCUAGGCGACGAUCCCUAGCUGGUCUGAGAGGAUGAUCAGCCACACUGGAACUGAGACACGGCCCAGACUCCUACGGGAGGCAGCAGUGGGGAAUAUUGCACAAUGGGCGCAAGCCUGAUGCAGCCAUGCCGCGUGUAUGAAGAAGGCCUUAGGGUUGUAAAGUACUUUUAGUCGGGAGGCGUUACCUACAGAAGAAGCACCGGCUAACUCCGUGCCAGCAGCCGCGGUAAUAC